Small nucleolar RNA from Grammomys surdaster, 133 nucleotides. RefSeq annotates it as small nucleolar RNA SNORA17. Lineage: Eukaryota; Metazoa; Chordata; Mammalia; Rodentia; Muridae. The transcript has a single exon. The record is from RefSeq and is a predicted model, not a curated record.
UCAGACAAAUAGCAAGAUACCAUGUAUGCCUGUUGUGUCAUGUGUUGCUCAGUAGGUAGCAGAGAAGAGAGAAAUGAUGCCCACACUCAGUAUUCUGACCAAUGAACAUCUGAAUGAUUAGUAGCCUAACAUU